GCCCGGGAUAGCUCAGUCGGUAGAGCAGGGGAUUGAAAAUCCCCGUGUCCUUGGUUCGAUUCCGAGUCCGGGCACCA
This 77-nucleotide transfer RNA is filed under the name Enterobacter cancerogenus. RNAcentral's name for it is "tRNA-Phe(gaa)". It matches the Rfam family "tRNA". Rfam says of the family: Transfer RNA (tRNA) molecules are approximately 80 nucleotides in length. Their secondary structure includes four short double-helical elements and three loops (D, anti-codon, and T loops). Further hydrogen bonds mediate the characteristic L-shaped molecular structure. tRNAs have two regions of fundamental functional importance: the anti-codon, which is responsible for specific mRNA codon recognition, and the 3' end, to which the tRNAs corresponding amino acid is attached (by aminoacyl-tRNA synthetases). tRNAs cope with the degeneracy of the genetic code in two manners: having more than one tRNA (with a specific anti-codon) for a particular amino acid; and 'wobble' base-pairing, i.e. permitting non-standard base-pairing at the 3rd anti-codon position. The record is from RNAcentral. Lineage: Bacteria; Pseudomonadati; Pseudomonadota; Gammaproteobacteria; Enterobacterales; Enterobacteriaceae.